CCGAGGCCCGUAGUAAGCCUAAAUUAUUCAAUCUGUCUACAUGAUUCUCCUAAUUUCAACAAAACAGUAAGCCCAUAUGACUUAAGAUAUAAGUUUUAUAAAAUUUUUAAACAUCUGGCCCAAUAUCAAAUAAUACAUAAAAUUUAACCAGGGCCUAUUCACAAUAACUCAUAAUCACAAUAAGGGCUUACUAGUUUACCUACAGUUAAUUACACAAUAAUUAAUUUAUAGCGUAGUGCUAACAAUAAGGCCCAAUUUAAAUACACAACCCUAUAACUGCGGAGUCCAAAAAUCUGAUAACAGAAUAAUUUAUACAUUCAAAAUUAAAUAUCAAGAAUAUAAAGUUUACAUUUAUAACUCUGCGGAGAAGAUUGCAGAGCUUCAN
RNAcentral lists this long non-coding RNA (385 nucleotides) under Jatropha curcas. RNAcentral describes it as "long non-coding RNA (JCUR_LNC000254)". The record is from RNAcentral. Lineage: Eukaryota; Viridiplantae; Streptophyta; Magnoliopsida; Malpighiales; Euphorbiaceae.